AUACAUUAAAGCACAUUAGCGCAUUUCCCGAGUGAAAGACCAUGUGAAAUGAAAGUAACAAAAUGCGACGAUUUACUUUCGUUUCUCGUAUUCCCUGGCAACAGCAGCGGAAGGCGUUGAAUGUGUUGACAGUCAGCCAGCGGC
Molecule: non-coding RNA, 144 nt
Organism: Caenorhabditis elegans
Lineage: Eukaryota; Metazoa; Nematoda; Chromadorea; Rhabditida; Rhabditidae
Source: Ensembl